UAAAAUUGUAAAAUAAUAUCAAAUUAGAGUAGUAGUAGUUAUAUUCUUAAAACUUAAAAAAUUUGGCGGUAUUUUAUUCUAUUUAGAGGAACUUGUUUUAUAAUUGAUAAUCCUCAAUUUAUCUUACUUAAAUUAUUUUUAAUUUGUAUAUCGUUGUCAUAAGAAUAUCUUAAAAAAGAAAAAAUUUUCUAAAUUAAUAAAAUUUAUAUUAAUUAUGUCAGAUCAAGAUGCAGUUUAUAUUUAAGAAAAAAUGAGUUACAAUUAAUUUAUUAAUAUGAAUUAAAGCUUGAAAUAGUUUUAUGAAGGUGGAUUUAAUAGUAAAUUAGUUAAUUGAGAAUAAUUGAUUAUAGUUCUAAAAUAUGC
Molecule: ribosomal RNA, 363 nt
Filed under: Isoneuromyia semirufa
Lineage: Eukaryota; Metazoa; Arthropoda; Insecta; Diptera; Keroplatidae
Description: partial 12S ribosomal RNA
Source: RNAcentral